RNAcentral lists this ribosomal RNA (253 nucleotides) under uncultured bacterium. Its description in RNAcentral is "partial 16S ribosomal RNA". It matches the Rfam family "Bacterial small subunit ribosomal RNA", at positions 524 to 776 of the family's 1533-position model. The record is from RNAcentral.
UACGGAGGGUGCGAGCGUUGUCCGGAAUCACUGGGCGUAAAGGGCGCGUAGGUGGCGCUGCAAGUCAACGGUGAAAGCUCGACGCUUAACGUCGAGUCGGCCGUCGAAACUGCAGCGCUCGAGCACUGUAGAGGCUCAUGGAAUUCCGGGUGUAGCGGUGGAAUGCGUAGAGAUCCGGAAGAACACCAGUGGCGAAGGCGGCCCGCUGGGCAGUGGCUGACGCUGAGGCGCGACAGCGUGGGGAGCAAACAGG